This 503-nucleotide ribosomal RNA is filed under the name uncultured Bacillota bacterium. RNAcentral describes it as "bacterial SSU rRNA". It matches the Rfam family "Bacterial small subunit ribosomal RNA", at positions 355 to 850 of the family's 1533-position model. Lineage: Bacteria; Bacillati; Bacillota. The record is from RNAcentral.
UAGGGAAUCUUCCGCAAUGGAUGAAAGUCUGACGGAGCAACGCCGCGUGAGCGAAGAAGGCCUUCGGGUCGUAAAGCUCUGUUGUUAGGGAAGAACAAGUAUCGGAGUAACUGCCGGUACCUUGACGGUACCUAACCAGAAAGCCACGGCUAACUACGUGCCAGCAGCCGCGGUAAUACGUAGGUGGCAAGCGUUGUCCGGAAUUAUUGGGCGUAAAGCGCGCGCAGGCGGUCCUUUAAGUCUGAUGUGAAAGCCCACGGCUCAACCGUGGAGGGUCAUUGGAAACUGGGGGACUUGAGUGCAGAAGAGGAGAGUGGAAUUCCACGUGUAGCGGUGAAAUGCGUAGAGAUGUGGAGGAACACCAGUGGCGAAGGCGACUCUCUGGUCUGUAACUGACGCUGAGGCGCGAAAGCGUGGGGAGCAAACAGGAUUAGAUACCCUGGUAGUCCACGCCGUAAACGAUGAGUGCUAAGUGUUAGAGGGUUUCCGCCUUUAGUGCUGCA